Molecule: long non-coding RNA, 869 nt
Organism: Xenopus laevis (African clawed frog)
Lineage: Eukaryota; Metazoa; Chordata; Amphibia; Anura; Pipidae
Exons: 3
Source: RefSeq, a predicted model, not a curated record
GCCGAACCCUCGACUUGGGAGGACAGCAGCUUCGGGAUAGCUCGUUGAUUUCCGUAAACGCGGCGUUGGUUAGUGGCAAAUACCGCGAGACGAAUGGAAGCUGGACGAAUUUGUUGCGCUGCUAGGGGUGUCGGAGAUGGGCUUGUGUUCAAGGAAGGACCGCAUUUACAUAAAAGGCUAUCGCCAGGGCUCACAGUGGAUCUACAGGAAGGAGGAGAGGAUCUGUAAGAUCACUGAUUUGGAGAGCAUGAGUGCACCAGUGGUGCUCCCCCCUUAUACCUAAAAUAUGGUUCCAUAGACAGGAGCACCCUUAGGCCACUUGGUAGACCCUGCAUUCCUUUUCAAUCCAUCCCUCAAACUGCAGGAGCCGGGUCUGCAGGCUGCCUGGGGUCCAAUGGAAUGACGAGGAAUGCAGGGUUUACUUUGUAACUUAAAUGUGCUCCCAUGUAUAUGUAGCCAUAUUCCCCUCUGUUUCAAUACCCUCCACCGUAAUUUCACCAGUGCUGCCCCCCUUACACCUAAAAUAUGGUUUCAUAGACAAGAGCACCCUUAAGCCGCUCAGUAGACCCUGCGUUCCAUUCCAUCCCUCAAGACUGCUGAAGCUGGGUUCUGCAGGCUGCCUGGGGUCCAAUGGAAUGGAGAGGUAUGCAGUGUUCACCUUGGAGCUUAAAGGUGCUCGUGUGUAUGCUGCCAUAUUGCCUUCUAUUUCCAUUCCCUCCAUCGCAAUUCUAACCACAGUAUCCCUUCUUUCACCGUAAAUAUGGUUCCAUAGACAGGAGCACCUUAAAGCCACUCGGUAGACCCUGCAUUCCUGUCCACUCCAUCCCUAAGACUGUAGAAGCCGGGUCUACAGGCUGCCUGGGGUCCAA